GUGGAGAGUGAGGUGCAUGCUUCUCACCAGAUCUCCUGAUGGGAGAAUCACAGGCAGAGCCUAGUAAUCAUCACAGUUCAAAUGCUCCCUAGAUUAGAGCCCCACCCAGAUGCUUGAAGAAGGAAGAAGGAAGCAUGCAAAUGGCAGACAGAUUUAGCUGGUUUCUUUGCAUGAGCAGAAACCCCAUCAAAACAUUAAACAUCACUUUCUUCUCGGCCCCAUAAUAUCACUCCAACCCCCGCCUCGACACCCUGCAUCUUCACUCACCUGGACCGAUGCUAUUGCCAGACGCUGUUCCUCGAGUCUGUUCAGCACCACACAUGAAGACCCUCAGCUGGCCCACCUGGC
Molecule: long non-coding RNA, 348 nt
Filed under: Bos taurus (domestic cattle)
Lineage: Eukaryota; Metazoa; Chordata; Mammalia; Artiodactyla; Bovidae
Description: long non-coding RNA NONBTAT006102
Source: RNAcentral